This 132-nucleotide small RNA is filed under the name Citrobacter freundii. Its description in RNAcentral is "RtT sRNA". It matches the Rfam family "RtT RNA". From Rfam's summary of the family: This family represents a bacterial cis-regulatory element known as RtT RNA. The exact function of RtT is unknown although it is thought that it may be involved in changing the cellular response in relation to amino acid starvation. RNAcentral also lists the same sequence under 1 other name. The record is from RNAcentral. Lineage: Bacteria; Pseudomonadati; Pseudomonadota; Gammaproteobacteria; Enterobacterales; Enterobacteriaceae.
UAUUCUGCCCAUGCGGGAAGGAUGAGAAGCUUCGACUAAGGUUCGAUUCGAGCGUUAGCGAGAAAGCGUUGCCGCAGGCAACGACCCGAAGGGCGAAGCGCGCAGCGCUGAGUAAUCCUUCCCCCACCACCA